This 492-nucleotide ribosomal RNA is filed under the name uncultured bacterium. RNAcentral describes it as "partial 16S ribosomal RNA". It matches the Rfam family "Bacterial small subunit ribosomal RNA", at positions 29 to 507 of the family's 1533-position model. The record is from RNAcentral.
AGUGAACGCUGGCGGUAGGCCUAACCCAUGCAAGUCGAACGGCAGCACAGUAAGAGCUUGCUCUUACGGGUGGCGAGUGGCGGACGGGUGAGGAAUACAUCGGAAUCUACUUUUUCGUGGGGGAUAACGUAGGGAAACUUACGCUAAUACCGCAUACGACCUACGGGUGAAAGCAGGGGAUCUUCGGACCUUGCGCGAUUGAAUGAGCCGAUGUCGGAUUAGCUAGUUGGCGGGGUAAAGGCCCACCAAGGCGACGAUCCGUAGCUGGUCUGAGAGGAUGAUCAGCCACACUGGAACUGAGACACGGUCCAGACUCCUACGGGAGGCAGCAGUGGGGAAUAUUGGACAAUGGGCGCAAGCCUGAUCCAGCCAUGCCGCGUGGGUGAAGAAGGCCUUCGGGUUGUAAAGCCCUUUUGUUGGGAAAGAAAAGCAGCAGGUUAAUACCCCGCUGUUCUGACGGUACCCAAAGAAUAAGCACCGGCUAACUUCGUG